Molecule: ribosomal RNA, 775 nt
Filed under: uncultured Neocallimastigales
Lineage: Eukaryota; Fungi; Neocallimastigomycota; Neocallimastigomycetes; Neocallimastigales
Description: partial large subunit ribosomal RNA
Rfam family: Eukaryotic large subunit ribosomal RNA
Source: RNAcentral
UAUCAGUCAUGCAUAGCAUAUCAAUAAGCGGAGGAAAAGAAACUAACAAGGAUUCCCUUAGUAACGGCGAGUGAAGCGGGAAGAGCUCAAAUUUGAAAUCUUCAAGGCUCUACCUUGACGAAUUGUAGUUUAUAGAAGUGUUUUCUGUUAGUGGAGUGGCAAAAGUUCUUUGGAAUAGGGACAUCAUAGAGGGUGAGAAUCCCGUAUUUGGUCAUUCCUCCUAGCGUUGUGAUACACUUUCAACGAGUCGGAUUGUUUGGGAAUGCAGUCCAAAAUGGGUGGUAAAUUUCAUCUAAAGCUAAAUAUUGGCGAGAGACCGAUAGCGAACAAGUACCGUGAGGGAAAGAUGAAAAGAACUUUGAAAAGAGAGUUAAACAGUACGUGAAAUUGUCAAAAGGGAAGCGUUUGACACCAGUGUUGUUUUUCCGAAAAUCAAUUACGAAUGUUUUAGUUUUUGAGGAGUUAUGACUUCAUCGGCUUGCUCCUUUCUUUAUGAAACUUUCUUAAUGCACUUUUCGGUUAACAAGUCAACAUCAAUUUCUUUUGUUGUAAAAGGGUAUGAGGAAAGUGGCUUUCUUUUCGGAGAAAGUGUUUAUAGCCUUGUGCCUCUGCAAUCGGAGAGAUUGAGGUCUGCAGCGUAGAUCCUUCGGGGUUAGAUACAGUUUGUGCUAAGUUAUAGCUUUUCAUAGACAACUUGUUGACUAUGUUAGUCUUGUAGCUUACUCGCUGAUGCUAUUUUACCUACGCUUAGGAUGUUGAUCUCUCACAGUCGAGC